GAAGUGCGAAUGCUGACAUAAGUAACGAUAAAGCGGGUGAAAAGCCCGCUCGCCGGAAGACCAAGGGUUCCUGUCCAACGUUAAUCGGGGCAGGGUGAGUCGACCCCUAAGGCGAGGCCGAAAGGCGUAGUCGAUGGGAAACAGGUUAAUAUUCCUGUACUUGGUGUUACUGCGAAGGGGGGACGGAGAAGGCUAUGUUGGCCGGGCGACGGUUGUCCCGGUUUAAGCGUGUAGGCUGGU
Molecule: ribosomal RNA, 240 nt
Filed under: Escherichia coli
Lineage: Bacteria; Pseudomonadati; Pseudomonadota; Gammaproteobacteria; Enterobacterales; Enterobacteriaceae
Description: partial 23S ribosomal RNA
Rfam family: Bacterial large subunit ribosomal RNA
Source: RNAcentral